This 938-nucleotide ribosomal RNA is filed under the name bacterium DOAN12/1. Its description in RNAcentral is "bacterial SSU rRNA". It matches the Rfam family "Bacterial small subunit ribosomal RNA", at positions 46 to 965 of the family's 1533-position model. The record is from RNAcentral.
GCAAAAUGCAGUCGAGCGAAUGGAUUAAGAGCUUGCUCUUAUGAAGUUAGCGGCGGACCUUUUAGGAACACGUGGGUAACCUGCCCAUAAGACUGGGAUAACUCCGGGAAACCGGGGCUAAUACCGGAUAACAUUUUGAACUGCAUGGUUCGAAAUUGAAAGGCGGCUUCGGCUGUCACUUAUGGAUGGACCCGCGUCGCAUUAGCUAGUUGGUGAGGUAACGGCUCACCAAGGCAACGAUGCGUAGCCGACCUGAGAGGGUGAUCGGCCACACUGGGACUGAGACACGGCCCAGACUCCUACGGGAGGCAGCAGUAGGGAAUCUUCCGCAAUGGACGAAAGUCUGACGGAGCAACGCCGCGUGAGUGAUGAAGGCUUUCGGGUCGUAAAACUCUGUUGUUAGGGAAGAACAAGUGCUAGUUGAAUAAGCUGGCACCUUGACGGUACCUAACCAGAAAGCCACGGCUAACUACGUGCCAGCAGCCGCGGUAAUACGUAGGUGGCAAGCGUUAUCCGGAAUUAUUGGGCGUAAAGCGCGCGCAGGUGGUUUCUUAAGUCUGAUGUGAAAGCCCACGGCUCAACCGUGGAGGGUCAUUGGAAACUGGGAGACUUGAGUGCAGAAGAGGAAAGUGGAAUUCCAUGUGUAGCGGUGAAAUGCGUAGAGAUAUGGAGGAACACCAGUGGCGAAGGCGACUUUCUGGUCUGUAACUGACACUGAGGCGCGAAAGCGUGGGGGAGCAAACAGGAUUAGAUACCCUGGUAGUCCACGCCGUAAACGAUGAGUGCUAAGUGUUAGAGGUUUCCCGCCCUUUAGUGCUGGAAGUUAACGCAUUAAGCACUCCCCCCUGGGGAGUACGGCCGCAAGGCUGAAACUCAAAAGAAUUGACCGGGGGCCCCCCAAGCCGGUGGGAGCAGGGGUUUAAUUCGAGCAACCCGAA